Molecule: ribosomal RNA, 253 nt
Filed under: uncultured bacterium
Lineage: Bacteria
Description: partial 16S ribosomal RNA
Rfam family: Bacterial small subunit ribosomal RNA
Source: RNAcentral
UACGUAGGCAGCAAGCGUUGUUCGGAGUUACUGGGCGUAAAGGGUGCGUAGGCGGCUUGGUAAGUGUGGUGUGAAAUCUCCCGGCUCAACUGGGAGGGUGCGCUACAAACUGUCGGGCUAGAGCACGGUAGAGGCAGAUGGAAUUCCCGGUGUAGCGGUGGAAUGCGUAGAGAUCGGGAAGAACAUCAGUGGCGAAGGCGGCAUCCUGGACCGGCAUUGACGCUGAGGAGCGAAAGCCAGGGGAGCAAACGGG